UUUCUUUCUGGUGGUCCUUCCUUUGUGGAGCUUUUUAUUGUGAGCCUAAAUCUUUGGAUAUAUCCCACAAGAGAAACAUUUCGGAGAGGGUUGCUCUAUAAUUUACAUUCUUAUUGUCAAAUCUGGGAAAUGAAGCACAGAUACUUUAUGAGGAAUGGCUUGUUCAUUUUAAAUGGGAAAGAAACGAAUUUGAAAUAUAACUGCCUGGCAAACAAAUUUGAAGGUGAUUAAAUCAACCAUAUUUAAAGACCGGUGAGUCCAGAGUCCUGCAGUGAGUCUCGUAACAGCGCUGGGAAGCAGGUCAAUAACUUCUUGUCUCCUCUGCUACAAAUAUGGAGAACAGGCUGCUCCAUUUUUGCAUCAAUGUUUUAGGAUCAAAUGCCUCUCCAUACACCACAGGAGCCCACUGCGGAGCCCUGACAGCCCAGGAGUGAGUGUGAGCUCCCAUCCUGGGCUGGUGCUAUGGCCUUACCCAUAUGGAGCCUUCAUGGAGCUGAGCCAAAUUACCCCCUUCCACAAUCUAAGCAAGCACCUUUAUCUCUGGGCUUUCAUUUUCACUCUGUGGGUGUUUGGCAAUGGAGAUUAUAUUAGCAUACCAAGUAAUUAUUACCAUAUGCUAUUGUUUGAGGUCCUAACUGACGAUGUGUGUGGAGAAUGAUCUGAAUGAUACGUAUGGUAUCUCUCUUUACACACAGAGACAGGGGGAUCUAGGGUGUGACUAACUUCUUCCUAAAUACAGUUAAAAUUAUCUGCACCCAAAUUAUAUAUAUUUUUUUGCUACUGACUGUACAGGGAACCCAUCUCAGUCACAGCUGUCCCACUUGGAGAUGCCUUAUGGUAAAGUAAUUCUCACCUGAAAGAUGGACAGUUAAAUUCAACCCAAAACUUUAGUCCACACAGAAUACACAGUGUUAAGCAAGUCAGUCAGUGUAAUAAAUACAUGCCUAAACAUCUCCUCCAAGGGUUUAAAAAAUAAAACAAAAUAAGAACUUUGGGAAGUAAAAAUGCAGAACACCAAUCCCAGUUGAUUUUCUACAUUUUAUCAAGUGGAGGCAAACUCUCAAACAUUUGGAUAGAUUCAAGAAGAUGCCAUUUAUUUCUUGAUGUGAGGGCUAGCAGCUUUGCAAAGGGCAGGGAUGAGCGGGGACAAACUGUGAUGUUUCAAACCACUAUGCAGAGUGAACAAACUGCCGAUGGGAGACUCUGUUCCUUCAGCAAUGGCAGUGCAGCAACCUCUGCUUCUGUGUUCUUGGAGGCAUGGUGUCAGAUCCCUUAGCCUGCACCAGUGGAGUAACCUCUCCUCCCUGAGUUUCAUUUUUCCUAACACGACAUGAAGUUUCAGAUUUCCUGCAUAAAUAUUACAUGGGCCUCAGAAAUUAUUAAUAACAAGCGCAUUUGAAUUCAGAACCAGCUGUAGAAAUAAAUGUCCAGUACUUCAGAGGUAGUUUUACUUGUAGCAAACAGAGAUUAAAAAUGCAUUUUGCAACUUAUCACCUCUCAAAAAGCAUAAGAGGAAAAGUGAUAAAUUAUUAGGAUCCAAGCAUGGUAUAAAUGUGCCUGAGGUUUGAUUACUCGUAACUGUACCAGUAAUCAAAAGGGUAGGUACCAAAAUACCCGUGCUGUUCUUCCAUUAUAAACAGUAAUUUUUUAAUCUUAUCAUAUGAGUGUCUGUGAAGUCGAUGUAUUGAGCAAUUUGGAACUAAAAUUCCUGUCUUCAGG
This 1719-nucleotide long non-coding RNA is filed under the name Gallus gallus (chicken). RNAcentral describes it as "lncRNA (ENSGALG00010021300.1)". Lineage: Eukaryota; Metazoa; Chordata; Aves; Galliformes; Phasianidae. The record is from RNAcentral.